This is a long non-coding RNA of Hylaeus volcanicus, 1300 nucleotides long. RefSeq lists it as uncharacterized. The record is from RefSeq and is a predicted model, not a curated record. The transcript has 3 exons. NCBI's taxonomy places the organism in Eukaryota, Metazoa, Arthropoda, Insecta, Hymenoptera, Colletidae.
GCAUGACAAGCAUGACUACAAUAUACUAUCAUCUUCGAACGAGACACACAAUAUAAUUGUAUAUAUUUGUACGAUCUAAAUUAUGAUUGCCGUGAAAUUCAAAGAAAGAGGAGUCUGUUCUCCCUCCACACAUAAAUUUGCUAUAGAAUAGUACCACCGGAACCACUCAUCUUGCAUCUCUCUUGGACGGGCUUCUCUCGCGCAGUUCACACUCCAGUUAGGAUAGAGCCCAAUGGUACCAAGUGCCCCCCCCCCCUGGGGAGCCCGGGAUAUAUAUAGCCUUACUGACAAGUCCACUAGCAGGCCCAGGACGAAACACUUCCUUCCUUUCCUCCCUUCUCUCGCUCUCCCUUCAGCAGAACCGCCACCACAGUGGGAUUACUUGAAUUUACAUGAAAAACCUUGCUUGGUAGACUUGUCGUUAUACAUUACCGUUAUCUACUUUAUUAUGCGUAGCGUUUUGCUUUCCAUGCACGCGAAUGCGCAGCUGUCUGUACAGGAACGCAUUUCGCCUACGUUGCGGUCAUGUCUGUACCGUAUGAACGAAUACGCAUACAAUAUACGAAAUUUAUGGGUGAACCGAUAUACUUAUCCACCGUCGACGAUCGCGAGUAUAACUUGAGGACGUUAUUGUUGCUUUAAGUGUUACGACAACCGGCGAAACUUGUCUCGUAAGCGGAUCGCGGAUAGGGGAGGAAUGGAUUUAUUGCUCCGAAACGCAGAAACGCGAUCGUAUAUAAACGCGAACAGCUAUUUCCGGGUACGGAAUAAAGUAUCGAUUGAUUUUCCUGUUUGUUAUUAGUUCCAUUCCACCAACUACUAUAGCAGUAUGCUUGGCGAUUCCUCUAGGUAAUACAGCCGAAAAGAUAGCGACUUUAAUUGUGAAGAAGAACUUCGUCUGCUGCAUUAUGUUGCUAAGUUGGAGAAAUGGCCACUUAACAAGUAAAAAUGGAAACAGAAACCUGUCGCUUGAAAAAAAGCAGAUGUUGUCCGAGUCAAGCAGAGGUCAUAGAUAGUGGAAAUAUAUCGUCCGACAAGGAAAGUUAGCAAAUCCCGAAAUUCAGAACAUUUUGAAAAAUUGUAUGCAAGCACGGAGGUCCAUCCGUAAUACAAAACCAUUUUUCGUUGGUUAGGAAUAUUAUGAUUCAAGAGGGUACGGUAAAAAAAAUGUGGAAAAAAUGCACAUUUUUCUUUCUGGUCGAAUAUAUUCAGAAUAGUGGAAGAUAUUAGGGGAAUGACAACACAAAAAUUACAUGCCAAAACUGCGUAUGAAUCACCAAUAAAACAAUUAAAAACCACA